GGGUUGUGAGGUUAAGCGACUAAGCGUACACGGUGGAUGCCCUGGCAGUCAGAGGCGAUGAAGGACGUGCUAAUCUGCGAUAAGCGCCGGUAAGGUGAUAUGAACCGUUAUAACCGGCGAUUUCCGAAUGGGGAAACCCAGUGUGACUCGUCACACUAUCAUUAACUGAAUCCAUAGGUUAAUGAGGCGAACCGGGGGAACUGAAACAUCUAAGUACCCCGAGGAAAAGAAAUCAACCGAGAUUCCCCCAGUAGCGGCGAGCGAACGGGGAGGAGCCCAGAGCCUGAAUCAGCAUGUGUGUUAGUGGAAGCGUCUGGAAAGGCGCGCGAUACAGGGUGACAGCCCCGUACACAAAAGCGCAUGUGCUGUGAGCUCGAUGAGUAGGGCGGGACACGUGGUAUCCUGUCUGAAUAUGGGGGACCAUCCUCCAAGGCUAAAUACUCCUGACUGACCGAUAGUGAACCAGUACCGUGAGGGAAAGGCGAAAAGAACCCCGGCGAGGGGAGUGAAAAAGAACCUGAAACCGUGUACGUACAAGCAGUGGGAGCACCCUUUGGGGUGUGACUGCGUACCUUUUGUAUAAUGGGUCAGCGACUUAUAUUCUGUAGCAAGGUUAACCGAAUAGGGGAGCCGGAGGGAAACCGAGUCUUAAUUGGGCGUUAAGUUGCAGGGUAUAGACCCGAAACCCGGUGAUCUAGCCAUGGGCAGGUUGAAGGUUGGGUAACACUAACUGGAGGACCGAACCGACUAAUGUUGAAAAAUUAGCGGAUGACCUGUGGCUGGGGGUGAAAGGCCAAUCAAACCGGGAGAUAGCUGGUUCUCCCCGAAAGCUAUUUAGGUAGCGCCUCGUGAAUUCAUCUCCGGGGGUAGAGCACUGUUUCGGCUAGGGGGCCAUCCCGGCUUACCAACCCGAUGCAAACUGCGAAUACCGGAGAAUGUUAUCACGGGAGACACACGGCGGGUGCUAACGUCCGUCGUGAAGAGGGAAACAACCCAGACCGCCAGCUAAGGUCCCAAAGUCAUGGUUAAGUGGGAAACGAUGUGGGAAGGCCCAGACAGCCAGGAUGUUGGCUUAGAAGCAGCCAUCAUUUAAAGAAAGCGUAAUAGCUCACUGGUCGAGUCGGCCUGCGCGGAAGAUGUAACGGGGCUAAACCAUGCACCGAAGCUGCGGCAGCGACGCUGAUGCGUUGUUGGGUAGGGGAGCGUUCUGUAAGCCUGCGAAGGUGGCCUGUGAGGGUUGCUGGAGGUAUCAGAAGUGCGAAUGCUGACAUAAGUAACGAUAAAGCGGGUGAAAAGCCCGCUCGCCGGAAGACCAAGGGUUCCUGUCCAACGUUAAUCGGGGCAGGGUGAGUCGACCCCUAAGGCGAGGCCGAAAGGCGUAGUCGAUGGGAAACGGGUUAAUAUUCCCGUACUUGGUGUUACUGCGAAGGGGGGACGGAGAAGGCUAUGUUGGCCGGGCGACGGUUGUCCCGGUUUAAGCGUGUAGGUGUGUGUUCCAGGUAAAUCCGGUUCACUUUAACACUGAGGCGUGAUGACGAGGCACUACGGUGCUGAAGCAACAAAUGCCCUGCUUCCAGGAAAAGCCUCUAAGCAUCAGGUAACAUCAAAUCGUACCCCAAACCGACACAGGUGGUCAGGUAGAGAAUACCAAGGCGCUUGAGAGAACUCGGGUGAAGGAACUAGGCAAAAUGGUGCCGUAACUUCGGGAGAAGGCACGCUGACACGUAGGUGAAGUGAUUUACUCAUGGAGCUGAAGUCAGUCGAAGAUACCAGCUGGCUGCAACUGUUUAUUAAAAACACAGCACUGUGCAAACACGAAAGUGGACGUAUACGGUGUGACGCCUGCCCGGUGCCGGAAGGUUAAUUGAUGGGGUCAGCGCAAGCGAAGCUCCUGAUCGAAGCCCCGGUAAACGGCGGCCGUAACUAUAACGGUCCUAAGGUAGCGAAAUUCCUUGUCGGGUAAGUUCCGACCUGCACGAAUGGCGUAAUGAUGGCCAGGCUGUCUCCACCCGAGACUCAGUGAAAUUGAACUCGCUGUGAAGAUGCAGUGUACCCGCGGCAAGACGGAAAGACCCCGUGAACCUUUACUAUAGCUUGACACUGAACAUUGAGCCUUGAUGUGUAGGAUAGGUGGGAGGCUUUGAAGUGUGGACGCCAGUCUGCAUGGAGCCGACCUUGAAAUACCACCCUUUAAUGUUUGAUGUUCUAACGUGGACCCGUGAUCCGGGUUGCGGACAGUGUCUGGUGGGUAGUUUGACUGGGGCGGUCUCCUCCUAAAGAGUAACGGAGGAGCACGAAGGUUGGCUAAUCCUGGUCGGACAUCAGGAGGUUAGUGCAAUGGCAUAAGCCAGCUUGACUGCGAGCGUGACGGCGCGAGCAGGUGCGAAAGCAGGUCAUAGUGAUCCGGUGGUUCUGAAUGGAAGGGCCAUCGCUCAACGGAUAAAAGGUACUCCGGGGAUAACAGGCUGAUACCGCCCAAGAGUUCAUAUCGACGGCGGUGUUUGGCACCUCGAUGUCGGCUCAUCACAUCCUGGGGCUGAAGUAGGUCCCAAGGGUAUGGCUGUUCGCCAUUUAAAGUGGUACGCGAGCUGGGUUUAGAACGUCGUGAGACAGUUCGGUCCCUAUCUGCCGUGGGCGCUGGAGAACUGAGGGGGGCUGCUCCUAGUACGAGAGGACCGGAGUGGACGCAUCACUGGUGUUCGGGUUGUCAUGCCAAUGGCACUGCCCGGUAGCUAAAUGCGGAAGAGAUAAGUGCUGAAAGCAUCUAAGCACGAAACUUGCCCCGAGAUGAGUUCUCCCUGAGACUUAGAGUCUCCUGAAGGAACGUUGAAGACGACGACGUUGAUAGGCCGGGUGUGUAAGCGCAGCGAUGCGUUGAGCUAACCGGUACUAAUGAACCGUGAGGCUUAACCUUACAACGCCGAAG
RNAcentral lists this ribosomal RNA (2926 nucleotides) under Salmonella enterica. RNAcentral's name for it is "bacterial LSU rRNA". It matches the Rfam family "Bacterial large subunit ribosomal RNA". Lineage: Bacteria; Pseudomonadati; Pseudomonadota; Gammaproteobacteria; Enterobacterales; Enterobacteriaceae. The record is from RNAcentral. RNAcentral also lists the same sequence under 1 other name.